This 112-nucleotide small nucleolar RNA is filed under the name Dichanthelium oligosanthes. RNAcentral's name for it is "Small nucleolar RNA Z279/snoR105/snoR108". It matches the Rfam family "Small nucleolar RNA Z279/snoR105/snoR108". From Rfam's summary of the family: This family includes the plant snoRNAs known as Z279, snoR105 and snoR108. All three are members of the C/D class of snoRNA which contain the C (UGAUGA) and D (CUGA) box motifs. The record is from Rfam by way of RNAcentral. Lineage: Eukaryota; Viridiplantae; Streptophyta; Magnoliopsida; Poales; Poaceae.
GGGAGAUGAGGAGUGGUAUAAGCUCGCGAGUUAUUAUGCGAGAGGGGGUGCCCGCCCCAAAUAAGCCUGUUACGACACAGGGGCGCCCCCAAUGACUUUACCAUCUGAUCCC